UACGGAGGGUGCAAGCGUUAUCCGGAUUCACUGGGUUUAAAGGGUGCGUAGGCGGGCAGGUAAGUCAGUGGUGAAAUCCUAGAGCUUAACUCUAGAACUGCCAUUGAUACUAUCUGUCUUGAAUAUUGUGGAGGUAAGCGGAAUAUGUCAUGUAGCGGUGAAAUGCUUAGAUAUGACAUAGAACACCCAUUGCGAAGGCAGCUUACUACACGAUCAUUGACGCUGAGGCACGAAAGCGUGGGGAGCAAACAGG
This 253-nucleotide ribosomal RNA is filed under the name uncultured bacterium. RNAcentral's name for it is "partial 16S ribosomal RNA". It matches the Rfam family "Bacterial small subunit ribosomal RNA", at positions 524 to 776 of the family's 1533-position model. The record is from RNAcentral.